GCGGCCGUAGCUCAAUGGUAGAGCGCUAGUCUUCCAAACUCGAUACGCGGGUUCGAUUCCCGUCGGCCGCUCC
Molecule: transfer RNA, 73 nt
Filed under: Sinomonas cellulolyticus
Lineage: Bacteria; Bacillati; Actinomycetota; Actinomycetes; Micrococcales; Micrococcaceae
Description: tRNA-Gly
Rfam family: tRNA
About the family: Transfer RNA (tRNA) molecules are approximately 80 nucleotides in length. Their secondary structure includes four short double-helical elements and three loops (D, anti-codon, and T loops). Further hydrogen bonds mediate the characteristic L-shaped molecular structure. tRNAs have two regions of fundamental functional importance: the anti-codon, which is responsible for specific mRNA codon recognition, and the 3' end, to which the tRNAs corresponding amino acid is attached (by aminoacyl-tRNA synthetases). tRNAs cope with the degeneracy of the genetic code in two manners: having more than one tRNA (with a specific anti-codon) for a particular amino acid; and 'wobble' base-pairing, i.e. permitting non-standard base-pairing at the 3rd anti-codon position.
Source: RNAcentral